RNAcentral lists this long non-coding RNA (266 nucleotides) under Gossypium barbadense (sea-island cotton). Its description in RNAcentral is "long non-coding RNA (GBAR_LNC020521)". Lineage: Eukaryota; Viridiplantae; Streptophyta; Magnoliopsida; Malvales; Malvaceae. The record is from RNAcentral.
CUUGUUGACUUCUUGUUACAUGCUUUCAUGUUAGAAGGGUUAAACUUUAUAGCAAUAUUCAUUGUUGCAAAACUAACAGUUUUGGCCUUAAAAACCAUUGGCAUGGUGUCAUUCUACUCUUAAUGUCCCUGGUUAUGCUGUAAACUUGAAGGAGAUCGGUUUCUGCAUAUUAUGCUAAAAGGAAAUGAAAUUGCUUGAAAAUUUGUACAACAUUCGUAAAAAAGAAAAGAAAAGAAAAGCUUGUUUAUGAAGGCUUUCUAUUAUCU